RNAcentral lists this transfer RNA (86 nucleotides) under Mycobacterium tuberculosis. RNAcentral's name for it is "tRNA-Val(cac)". The record is from RNAcentral. Lineage: Bacteria; Bacillati; Actinomycetota; Actinomycetes; Mycobacteriales; Mycobacteriaceae.
CCGGUGUUGGUGUGGCCGGUGUUGAGCCAGCCGGUGUUCACACCGCCGGGGUUGAAGCCACCGGUGUUGGUGUCGCCGGCGUUGAA